RNAcentral lists this small RNA (75 nucleotides) under Caenorhabditis briggsae. RNAcentral describes it as "sRNA CBG29738". The record is from RNAcentral. Lineage: Eukaryota; Metazoa; Nematoda; Chromadorea; Rhabditida; Rhabditidae.
UUUCCAUGUGAUGAUAAAACUAUAGCGUGAGCUGGCAGCAGUGAUCGCUAAAUGUCAUAGUUACACUGAUGGGUU